Molecule: ribosomal RNA, 1314 nt
Filed under: Triticum aestivum (bread wheat)
Lineage: Eukaryota; Viridiplantae; Streptophyta; Magnoliopsida; Poales; Poaceae
Description: partial small subunit ribosomal RNA
Source: RNAcentral
AUGGCGACCUCGCUGCUCCCACGCUGGGCACCAACGCCGAGCCCGUCACAGCCGCGGUGGGGUCCUUCAGCUGCCGCCCUCACAGGGGAGGUUCAGCCGCCGGAACCACCGACCGCCGAGGUGGAAGGCGCCGUGGGUAGCCCCGGUGGAAUUCAUUCUGAGCUUCACGACAUUGAUCAUCGUGAAGGCCGCCUGGUGGACACCCCUCAUGAUGGCGGCGUGUUCAUAACGUGGGAGGACGUGUGGGUAACGGCGGUGGACGGCAGAGCCACCAUUCUGCACGGCGUCAGCGGCAGCGCGCGCCCCGGCCAUGUGCUGGCCAUCAUGGGACCCUCCGGGUGUGGCAAGACCACACUGCUCGACACCUUGGCCGGGAGACUGGACAAGAACCUGAGAAGUAAAGGAGAUACUCGGAUAAAUGGCCGGAGACAGAGGCUCGCCUUUGGAAUUUCGGCAUACGUGACGCAAGAGAACAUGCUGAUGGACACACUCACAGUGCGUGAGGCCAUCUACUACUCGGCACAGAUCCAGCUGCCCGACACCAUGCUGCUUGCCGAUAAGUUGGCCCGCGCCAAUGAAGCCAUCCAGGAGAUGGGGCUCACCAGCGCCCUAGAGACGCGCAUCGGCGGGCGCAAUACUAAGGGCAUUAGUGGCGGGCAGCGGAAGCGUCUGAGCAUCUGCCUUGAGAUCCUCACGAGGCCGCGACUGCUAUUCCUGGACGAGCCUACCAGCGGGCUAGACAGCGCUGCCUCCUUCCAUGUGAUGAACCGCAUAGCUGACCUCGCUGCCAGGGAGGGCAUGACCAUCAUGGCCGUAGUGCACCAGCCAUGCAACGAGGUGUUCGAGAUCUUUCAUGGCCUCUACUUGCUUGCCUCCGGACGGACAAUUUACUUUGGCCCGGCCACCAAUGCCAAUGAGUUCUUCGCAUCAAAUGGCUACCCUUGCCCACCAAUGAGAAAUCCUUCAGAUCAUUUCCUGAGGACAAUCAACAGAGAUUUUGAAUUGGGUGGAGUGAUGAUCAGAAGAAACCAAGCCAGUUUCCUGACAAAGGUGUUUGUACUCACCAGAAGAUCGUUUGUGAACAUGUAUAGAGACGUCGGAUACUACUGGCUACGUCUUGGCAUCUAUAUUUCCAUUAGUCUAUGCCUUGGUACCAUAUAUUACAAUUUUGGCUAUGGAUACGAUUCUAUCCGUUCUAGAUCAUCAAUGCUAAUGUUCACCAGUGGCCUUCUAACAUUAAUGGCAAUUGGAGGAUUCCCUUCCUUUGUGGAGGAAAUGAAGGCUGGUAUAAUGGAUAAAAACUUAUCAACCUAG